RNAcentral lists this ribosomal RNA (403 nucleotides) under uncultured bacterium. RNAcentral's name for it is "partial 16S ribosomal RNA". It matches the Rfam family "Bacterial small subunit ribosomal RNA", at positions 28 to 526 of the family's 1533-position model. The record is from RNAcentral.
GACGAACGCUGGCGGCGUGCCUAAUACAUGCAAGUCGAACGCAGUUGGGACGGGUGAGUAACACGUGGGUAACCUCCCAUCAGAGGGGAUAACACUUGGAAACAGGUGCUAAACCGAUACUGAUGGAUGGACCCGAGGUGCAUUAGCGAGUUGGUGAGGUAACGGCUCACAAAGUCCACGAUGCAUAGCCGACCUGAGAGGAUGAUCAGCCACAUUGGGACUGAGACACGGCCCAGACUCCUACGGGAGGCAGCAGUGGGGAAUCUGCCGCAAUGGACGAAAGUCUGACCGAGCAACGCCGCGUGAGUGAAGAAGGUUUUCGGAUCGUAAAGCUCUGUUGUUAGAGAAGCGGUAUCUAACGAAGAAGCCACGGCUAACUACGUGCCAGCAGCCGCGGUAAUUC